UUUUCCACAUUUUGGACGACAUACUAAACUAUGACGUUUUUUCCACGUUUUCGACGACAUACUAAACUAUGACAUUUUUUCCACAUUUUGGAUGACAUACUUAAAACUACCGGCCUGUUUGGGGAUGAAUCACCAGCCAACAUACUAAAUCAGCUCUCAGCCAUCAUGGAAACUUGGCAUGUGACAGAAAAGGUUCAUACUGUUGUCACAGCUGGCAUGCCACAGCUAAAAGGAAGUAAAACGAGAUGGACUCACAUUCCUUGCUUUUCUGACAUUCUGAAUGCAAUAUUUAAGGAUGUGAUGAACAACAAUGAGCUGUCCAGCGUUCUCAACAAGUGCUGCAACAUCAUCCGGUUCUUGAAGUAUGACUCUGAAGCUGAGAAGGAGCUCAGAGAAUUGCAAGGCAAACUGCACAAGAAACAAACUGAGCUGAUCAUGUGUUCCAGGGACAGAUGUCUCACUUGGCUGGACAUGCUUCAACCACUGGAUGAGCAGUACUCAGUCAUGAUGAUAGUGAUCAAUGAGAGGGGGAAGACAGAUUUAAUUCUAAACGAAAGCGAUAAAAAGAACAUCAAGAACGUCAUAUCAGCUCUGGAACCUCUGAAGGAAGCCACUUCCAUGUUUAAAGGCAAAGGAUUUGAGACCAUUUCAGUCGUGGUGCCUGUGAUAUCGAAGCUCAUGGAUGCACUUGGAGAAGAAGCAAAGCGCAAGAAUCAUGUUGCCAAAAUACUACUGUCAAAAUGCCAACUCGAAUUCGGCAAUGUCAACGAGCACAAACUAGCUACCGUCACAUUCCUCGACCCAAGAUACAAAAACCACCUAAGAGACAAUGCCAAGAACCUAGCAAUUAAGAAGAUAAUGAUGGAGCUCAGUGCAAGCAAAGAGAAUUCUGCUGACAAGCUGAAAGUCCAACUGGACAAAUACAAGGCUUAUAAACCCAAUGCACAGGAGUCAAAUCCUUUGGCCUGGUGGAGGUACACAGGAAAGGAGGAAUUCUCUCUAUUAAGCAAGCACGCUGUGAAGAGACUUGGGGUCGUCUCCACUGCUGUGCCCUUAGAGAAAGCGUUCUCCAGGGCAGGUGAUCAGUUCUGCAACCUCAGGAGCUCCAUCGAGCCAGAAAACCUUAACAUGGUUCUGUUCCUCAACAGCAACUGGUCUACACAGUCCUAGGUACAAAUCUAUUCCUCUGUCUAAGCCAAAGCACACACUAGCCAUGUUUCCAUCAGCAUUUUAAAGCAUCAAAUCAGAAAAAGUUAAAAGUAACUGAAAAUUUUGAAAAAAAUUUCCUCAUUUUUGCAAAUCAUCAGCACCCCUGAAGUCCUUCUGCAACUACUUCGAUAACAGCUCUUUUAAAUAUGAAUGAUGAAGAUGUGGAUGAGAAUCUCCUCAUAAAGUUUCUCCUCAUGGCAGGCCAUGUUCCUGACACAUGCACAGUUGACAUGCUUGCAGUGCAAGACAGUCCAUGCAGUCACAGUUUAUGAGCUUCACAUGGACCCUCACAGACUUUGUCUGAUGACGCAAUUUACAGCAAGCAGCCCCGUGCAGACAAUCACACUUGGGAUACAUGAUUUUCACUUAAUCCGUGAUUAUACUCCCUUCUAGAUGAGCACACAGACAGCUGUGGACACCACAAAAUGGCAAUUGUUGUUGUAGUACUUUUUGUUCACUUGGAGAAUGCUUUCCAUAAAUGCACAGUAGUUUGGCGUCUCUGUGCUCUUGCACCACUAGCUGCCACGCAGACACCAACUUUAGCCUUCAUGCGAACAUCCCCAGAGGGCUCCGUGCAGACUCUCCCCGCCUUAGGCAAAUGAGGACAUUUGCAUUACACAGACUUCUACAUGCUCACGGAUGCAAAUAUUAUAACAUCGGUUAAAGACAACACUGUACUCACUUCAUUCCUCAGUACAGUGAGGGGUGUUUGUUAUUGACUGAAUAGCAGGAGGUGCCGCUUCAAGACAACAGCUGCCUGCAGAUUGAAAGAAAAAUAAUCUGCACAAUGCUCUCCUCAUUUAUUUUUAUCAUUGUCAACAGUUUUCUCACAUGUGAUUUUAGUGAUUUUAUCAUCACUGAGCUAUUUUAACUACUGAUUCUGAUUCCACUAUUAAAGAUUAAAGAUGCUAUUAUUAUCAAUGUACAUGAAAAUACAAUGGAAUUUUGUUGGCAAUUUCUAACAGUAGCAGGUCUGACAGCUAGGUGUUGUAAAAAGCUUUACAGGUCAAGACAGUUGGAGAUUUCUGUACUCGACUCAUUAAUAGUGACAAUACAACAGUGACAUGACUUCUACAUCAUGUAAAGACAAACUUCUGAGCAUAAUUAUGUUCCGCUUGAAACUAAAUUUGAAUCAUUUACAUGUAUGAUUUGCUUGAACUUAACAGCUGCCAUGAAUAGUAGAAUGUGAAUUACAGUUACACAGUGCAUUGGUUCAGCACUGACACUGUGAUAUGCAUGUGUGAAUAUAAUGACAUUGCAGGACAUACGAUGUGAAAUAAGGCAAACAAGUUGCCACACAGAUACAAACUUUGGGCUUCAUGCAAACGUCCAUGGAGAGGUUUGUGCAGACUCUUAUGGACUUCUGCAAUAGAUGAAAUGUACGUCAUGCUGACCCUCAUGUGCUUAUGGACAAAGUAUAACACCAGUGCUGCAUUAAGUUGACAGGCCAGCAUCUCUUUGUUCAUGGCUAUUUGUUUCAUGGAGUUGUCUUAAGUUAUAAUCGCAAUGUUGUCCGAUGCCAUUCAGGAAUUAUAUAUUAUUGUCUAAUUCAUCAAACAUCAUUAUCAUUGAUUGAUGGAAAUUAGUUCUUCAUUCUCCGUUUUACUGUAAAACUGUUUUUUUUCUUUUGUGUUUCUUCUUUGUUACUGAAAGACUUCUGAUUGUGUCCAUUUUGUACAAUACAUUUUUUGAAAAAUUUGCAACUGUGCUGUGUGUUCUUUAGGAGUUACAGACAGUAACACAACACUAAAUACGUACAUUACACCAGAAGACUGACAGAUAUUAAGAUUCGGACAGAAGUAACACUACAAAAUGUGCAUUAAGGAUGUGUUUCAUAUCUCUUUAAGCAGAAAAUGCCCCCUGUGAGCGUUGUAAAAUAUGAUUGGGUUAUUGUUGCUGAUAAAUUUAAGUGGAGGCAGCAUUGUUCAUGACUUUUUCAGCCUGAGGGACCUAUAUGGGAGGGUGAGAAGCCUUUGAAAGGUGGAGGGUCUUUGUCAGGGGUCUCACGUCUCAAUCCACAACUUUAACGACAAGGAUUAUUUACUUGAACUAAAAACACAUCAUGCAAUAAUCAAUAUUUUCACAAACUGUGAAAAAAAAUUGCAUUUUAAAGUUUUACAGAUUUUUUUUUUAUAUACUACUUUUGUAGUCUAGUCCUUUUGAUAACAGGCCUAAUGACCAUUUAAUGCCUGGUUACAAUACUGUAAUUUCUUGCUAUAGGUUCUGAAAUCUGCAUUUUCUGUAUUUUUGUUAGAGAUGCCACAAGCUCAUUUUAUUCCUUAUUUACCAAUCUGCUGAUUAUUUUCUCUAUUAAAUGUCUAGAAAAUGACCAAAAAUUGUGAAUAAAUGUAUGUAUUAAUUCAAAAUUGCUGCUGGUGACACACAGAGGGCUUAUUUUGUUUAAUAAAUUAUUAUGUAACAAAGAAAAGCACCAAAUCCCCACUUUUGAAAAGAAUUCCUGCUUGAAAAAAAUAUUUCAAUUAUCAAUCAAUUAAUUACAAUGAUUUUCACUGACCUUUUCUCACUGAAUAAUCAGUUAAUGGACUUUGUCAGUUUUAGCGGGUAUCCCUGGGUACUAAAAGCUUGGAUAAAUUUACUCUGUACACUGAGGAGUUGUGUGGAUGAGCAGCCAGAAGGAGGCGCCAUUUGAACACCAGAGCUGUCUGCUGACUGAUGCAACUGAAAGACAAACUGCACACUUUUCUUGUUUCAUCAUUUUCAUGUCAGACAACUGUCUGACAUGAAAAUGCUUGCUCA
This is a long non-coding RNA of Amphiprion ocellaris (clown anemonefish), 3966 nucleotides long. The record is from Ensembl. Lineage: Eukaryota; Metazoa; Chordata; Actinopteri; Pomacentridae.